AAGAAUUUCUUUUUCUUCACAAUU
RNAcentral lists this microRNA (24 nucleotides) under Homo sapiens (human). Its description in RNAcentral is "Hsa-Mir-3611_5p* (star (passenger))". Lineage: Eukaryota; Metazoa; Chordata; Mammalia; Primates; Hominidae. The record is from RNAcentral.